Molecule: small nucleolar RNA, 215 nt
Organism: Suncus etruscus (white-toothed pygmy shrew)
Lineage: Eukaryota; Metazoa; Chordata; Mammalia; Eulipotyphla; Soricidae
Product: small nucleolar RNA U3
Exons: 1
Source: RefSeq, a predicted model, not a curated record
AAUAAUGUUGAGGGUUUUUUUUUAAAGGUUAUUCAGCAAUUUAGGAAAAAAAAACAAAAACAGUGUGCUUCCUGAAGCCACAGGAGGAGUCAGAGCAUCCUCUCCUGAGAAUGAAGCCCACUCUAAGUGUUGCUUCUGCGACUUCUUUUGGCCAUUGAUGAUUGUUCUUCCCUUUCUUUGGAAGGGGUAGAGGGAGAGGAUGCAGUCUGAGUAGU